GCACCAGCAAAAUCUGGUGUCAGGAUUGAGACCCUGAUAAUAGAAAAGGCGACACAUGACGCUCCAAGCGUCUUUUUU
RNAcentral lists this small RNA (78 nucleotides) under Xenorhabdus vietnamensis. RNAcentral describes it as "isrK". It matches the Rfam family "isrK Hfq binding RNA". The record is from RNAcentral. Lineage: Bacteria; Pseudomonadati; Pseudomonadota; Gammaproteobacteria; Enterobacterales; Morganellaceae.